This is a non-coding RNA of Podarcis lilfordi (Lilford's wall lizard), 1059 nucleotides long. The record is from the annotation of a GenBank genome assembly. NCBI's taxonomy places the organism in Eukaryota, Metazoa, Chordata, Lepidosauria, Squamata, Lacertidae.
CAGUAGGAAACAGAUUUAUUCCAGCUGUAUUGCAAGUGAUUGACAUGAAACUUUGUGCCCAACUUCUAUACGGCACACCAGUGUGGAUUUCAGGUGACCUCAAGAGGUUGGAUAAAUUCCAUGCAUCCCUUCUGAGGUCAUUAUUAGGACUUGCAAACUCUGUAAAAUAUGAAACAAUAUGUUGUGAGCUGGGAAUAUUGCCUUUAUCAGUAAGAGCAUGGUUGAGGACCUUGAAAUAUUGGAUCUUCCUCCAUUAUAGAGCCCUAUCCCCUAAUUCUCUACUUUACGAUCUUUUAAGUGAUAGUGCAAUCUACAAUCUAUCAUUGAUUUGUAGGAGAAAACUGGAUUCGAUAGGGCUCACUCUAAUUGAUUUUGAAACCUCUGAUCCCAAAGACAUAUGGGAAAUUAUCAGGAAGACUCUUACAGAAAAAAGUGUUCUCGCCAUGCUUGAGGCUGCAAAGCACAGCACUUGCUCUCCUAUCCACUUAAAUCUCCCUUUGUGUAGAGAUUUCCAAAAGGGAUACAUGACAAAUCUGAAGAAACAUGAAUCGUGUAGGCUGUUUAUGUUGGCCAGAUUCAACAUGUUUCCUCGGUGGUAGUGAGAGGAAGAUACUUAGCUAUCCCAGAAUCAGAGCGUCUCUGCAAAUGCAGAAAACAGGAACCUGAUACUCUAGAGCAUAUAUUCUUUUCCUGUGAUUUUGGUAGUUAUGCCAGAAAACAAUUAUUUGAGGCCCUAAAAGUUAAUAGACAGAUUUUUACUCAACCAACUGUUCAGGACCUGCUGGCGGACAGCGAUGAUCAAACCACUAUAAUAGUGGCUGAAUUUUUAAGUGCUGUCCAUGAAGAAAGAAUGGGCCAUGAUAAAGAGACUUAGUGGUUUUUAAUGGUAGGUGAUGUUGCUGUGUUGUUGUAUUAUAUUAUCUAUGUACAUCGAUUUAUUUCUUGGAGUUAAGAAUAGGACUGGGAUAAAUUGUGUUCGCUGAGCCCGUAUUUUAUACAGUCUGUAUAUGAUGUUUGUUUGUUACUGUGUGGUGUGCUAUGCCUAAUAAAGGAUUUAAA